GAGUUAUGAGUGGUGUUUGUCUUGAUAAACUAGAGUAUUUUGUUUUUCCGUUGCUGCUGUAUAAACUUGGAUGGAUGCAGCAAAAAGUUUAAUUUAUCCAAGUACAGCGUACCGUGCUUUCAGAAACUAGGCAAGAGCUUGGGGUAUGCAUGAAAGUUGUCCUGUGGGCACCCAAUGAGUCUAGAUGACUUAAAAAUCAGUGUUUCCAGCCCUAAAGAGCUGGACAGUUUUAAGUAUCUGGAUGUUUUAGAGCGACGCUUGAACUGCGAUGUUGAUGAGAGGGAUGCAGUGCUUUUGAGGCAUUUUUUUCUCUCAAUUUAUAGCAUUUUGGCAGGCAGACAAGUAAGGAACGAUCAGACAGUAUUAUCAGCACAAAGUGAACAACCAAACCAUCGAGAACUGGAAGCACAUUCCGCUGGAAUUGAAAAAGGCGUGGACAUUUAUUUGCAUAGUGUAUUAGUGCCUCUACUUACCAUCCCCAAUGAUCCACCGCAACGAAAUCGUCAUAUUUGAACACUACAAAGCCGCUGGUACUAUCAGGUUUUCUUCGGAUCAAAUUUGGGAAAGAAUAUAAAUCUUUAUUUAUUAAAAAUA
Long non-coding RNA from Dendroctonus ponderosae (mountain pine beetle), 594 nucleotides. RefSeq lists it as uncharacterized. The transcript is spliced from 2 exons. The record is from RefSeq and is a predicted model, not a curated record. NCBI's taxonomy places the organism in Eukaryota, Metazoa, Arthropoda, Insecta, Coleoptera, Curculionidae.